This 301-nucleotide ribosomal RNA is filed under the name uncultured bacterium. Its description in RNAcentral is "partial 16S ribosomal RNA". It matches the Rfam family "Bacterial small subunit ribosomal RNA", at positions 509 to 809 of the family's 1533-position model. The record is from RNAcentral.
CAGUAGCCGCGGGAACACGAAGGGGGCUAGCGUUGUUCGGAAUUACUGGGCGUAAAGCGCACGUAGGCGGAUAUUUAAGUCAGGGGUGAAAUCCCAGAGCUCAACUCUGGAACUGCCUUUGAUACUGGGUAUCUUGAGUAUGGAAGAGGUGAGUGGAAUUCCGAGUGUAGAGGUGAAAUUCGUAGAUAUUCGGAGGAACACCAGUGGCGAAGGCGGCUCACUGGUCCAUUACUGACGCUGAGGUGCGAAAGCGUGGGGAGCAAACAGGAUUAGAUACCCCUGUAGUCCCUGUCUCUUAUAU